RNAcentral lists this ribosomal RNA (470 nucleotides) under uncultured bacterium. RNAcentral describes it as "bacterial SSU rRNA". It matches the Rfam family "Bacterial small subunit ribosomal RNA", at positions 33 to 518 of the family's 1533-position model. The record is from RNAcentral.
GACGCUGGCGGCACGCCUAACACAUGCAAGUCGAACGGAGAUUUGAGAGCUUGCUCUUGAAUCUAGUGGCGGACGGGUGAGUAACACGUGAGCAACCUGCCUCUGAGAGAGGGAUAGCUUCUGGAAACGGAUGGUAAUACCUCAUAACAUAGCUGGACCGCAUGAUCCGGUUAUCAAAGAUUUAUCACUCAGAGAUGGGCUCGCGUCUGAUUAGCUAGUUGGUGAGGUAACGGCCCACCAAGGCGACGAUCAGUAGCCGGACUGAGAGGUUGAACGGCCACAUUGGGACUGAGACGCGGCCCAGACUCCUACGGGAGGCAGCAGUGAGGGAUAUUGCACAAUGGAGGAAACUCUGAUGCAGCGAUGCCGCGUGGAGGAAGAAGGUUUUCGGAUUGUAAACUCCUGUUUCGAGGGACGAUAAUGACGGUACCUCGGGAGGAAGCUCCGGCUAACUACGUGCCAGCCGCUGC